RNAcentral lists this unclassified non-coding RNA (705 nucleotides) under Hevea brasiliensis (rubber tree). The record is from RNAcentral. Lineage: Eukaryota; Viridiplantae; Streptophyta; Magnoliopsida; Malpighiales; Euphorbiaceae.
AUUACAUCGUGUCCAUACUGAGUUAAAGGAUUACAUAGUUUAGCAAGUAAAGAUUCAACAUCCAACAUCCGAGGCAACCUAUUAGAAGCAACACUAAUUUUUUUUUUCUUCACAAGCUUAUCUAGGUAGAGUAAAUGAGGUAGCUGUACAAUGUAUGAAGAGCUUCGAUAAUCAACAAUCGAUAAUCGAAACUCGACUCUAGACAGGAGGUAUAUUGGAAAAAGAGAAACCUUUAUAACCCUUGUAAGCAUAGUAUGCAAUCCUUGUAUAGUAGAACCCUGGUAUAAACAAAACUCCACCAAGUAUAGCAAAAAAAAGCCCAUGAGCUGUAUCGCCACCGACCUUAUUGAUUGCCAUGAAAAUACCUAGAAAAAUAGCUAGGGUACCAAAUACAAGAAGGGAAACAGCAAGAGCGAUCUCUUUGAUAGGUCCACGAUUGUUAUCGGCAUGAGAACCUUCCAUCAUCAUAUCCUCAUCGGAAAUUGAGAAAGCAUGAUCGACGUACGCCAUUGAAACAAACACUAUUUUCUUUGUAAUGCUUGAAGAAGAAGAAGGGUUAGUGGGAAAUACCUAUUUUCAGCAGAAACAGAGUUUGGCUUAAGAAGAAAGGCGUCUUUUGCGUGUGCCAAUAAAACUAUUCUAAACCUAAAUACGGAUACGGUGGUGCGGUAUAUGAAGUUGUUUCUUUCGAGAUAUCAAAUUUAA